This 125-nucleotide small RNA is filed under the name Marmota monax (woodchuck). Lineage: Eukaryota; Metazoa; Chordata; Mammalia; Rodentia; Sciuridae. The record is from RNAcentral.
GCCAGGCAUCGUAGUGCAUACCUGUAAUCCCAGCCACUUAGGAGGCUGAGGCAGGAGGAUCAUGAGUUCAAAGCCAGCCUUAGCAAAAGUGAGCCACUAAGCAACUCAGUGAGACUCUGUCUCUA